AGCCCCAAAGUGGUAGAAAGUCACAAUUGAGACUGGCCAAACAACAGUUCCCUGCUGAGUUGCAGGCAAUGGAAAGAUAUCGUCAUCCGAAUAUUGUUCAUCUUAUUGGACACUGCAGUGAACCAGAACCAUGUUUGGUGUAUGAAUAUUUACCAGGAGGUAAUCUGGGACAGAAGGUGGCCAAGGAUAAUUCAUUUGUGUGGUCAUCUCGAGUGAAAAUUCUGUGUGAUGUCUCAUGUGCGUUGAACCAUUUACACACCGCUUACAAUCCCGGUCUUGUCCAUCGAGAUGU
Corticium candelabrum is the source of this 292-nucleotide long non-coding RNA. RefSeq lists it as uncharacterized. The record is from RefSeq and is a predicted model, not a curated record. The transcript has 3 exons. Lineage: Eukaryota; Metazoa; Porifera; Homoscleromorpha; Homosclerophorida; Plakinidae.